Petromyzon marinus (sea lamprey) is the source of this 84-nucleotide non-coding RNA. The record is from the annotation of a RefSeq genome assembly. NCBI's taxonomy places the organism in Eukaryota, Metazoa, Chordata, Hyperoartia, Petromyzontiformes, Petromyzontidae.
GUCAGGAUGGCCGAGCGGUCUAAGGCGCUACGUUCAGGUCGCUAGUCUCCCCUGGAGGCGUGGGUUCGAAUCCCACUUCUGACA